This is a non-coding RNA of Drosophila suzukii, 463 nucleotides long. Lineage: Eukaryota; Metazoa; Arthropoda; Insecta; Diptera; Drosophilidae. The record is from RefSeq and is a predicted model, not a curated record.
AUUAAUGUAAACAUUGUUCUUGAAACUUUUGUUCCGAAUUAAAAAUUUAAGUUCUAUUAAAUUUUACUCAAUAUAUUUUGCUUUAAAACUAUUUUUUAAAUCGAAUAAUCUUGAUAAAAUGAUGAAAAGGAAAAGCUGAAUUAUGUGGCAUGAUUUUCACAUUAACCGCAACAAAACCCUACUCCAAUAGGUCCUACUGACAAUUUCCACAAGAAAUAAUCCUCUUUGUCUAAAAAUAAUCCAACAAAUGACUAACAAUUGACCUUCUUUUGCAUUUUUAGUUCACGAAGCAUGUUAUGAAUAUAUGUUCCAAGUGGCUGACGUCAACCCUAUUUAUCAUAUUAUGGCUUACUUCGUUGUGAAUUGGUUCUAUUAAAAACAUGUUUUUUUAAGGUACAGUACUGUCCAAAGCACUCCAUUCUAUUUAUAAUUUAUCGAAGAGAAAAUAAAAGUAAACAAAGAA